CACCAUCGGAGUAAUCUUCAAGCCCGGAGCGUCAUCGGUGUAGAACCGGAGCAAGUUGCUCCAGCUGUUGCCACUGCUGAACCUUUGUGCUCUCCUUAGUGCCGCGGAUGGUAUCCAUCAGACCCAAGAUCCUCCUACAGCAAUGAACAAGGCGUCCAAACACUUGUAUCCUUCUCAAAUAUUCAUUCGGAAUGGUCAAGGUCAGCUAGACUGGAGCAGUUCGAUGAAGACAGCAGCAAGAUUGCACUCUCGGCAAGGUGCAAUGGCAUCUGGUUCGUCAACCAAAAUCAAUCAUAUAUGAAAUAAAACCCACAACUCAGAGCACAUGAUUUUCGGGUGUCAAAGAAAUCCCAACAGGAUAAACCCCGUGUAUUCUUGUUUUCACAGUCGACAUCUUUUGGCAGGACCAUCCUUGAGAUUAACUUCCUUGCUACUUAUACCAGAUUUCUUUAUAGCGCCUGACUCAUUCGUAUCAACAAUGAACUGGAGCCCCCCUUGAGUGAGUUCUCCUCAUACGUCACUGCUGAAUGGUGUCAUUAAGCCAAACGGGGCCUCUCUUGAACCUCACACAACCCCAAGUAAGGACUUCUUGAAUCCCCAAAAGUUGUUGGUACCUUACGCGGACAUUUUCUGGUUCAAAUUCUGUAGCUGCCAAUACCUUCUGAAGAUCUCUUUCCCAGUCUUAAGGCCUAGCGGUCUCUUUCAGGGAAAACAGAGGGCAAGAGAAUAGAAAGAGGGAACAGAGUAUGGAAGAAAAAGAAAAACAAGUAAAAAGGUCCUCAAAGAAGGCUUCACAUCAUGAGUUUUCCGAGAACCUUCUCGGGUUAGGGUG
Molecule: long non-coding RNA, 832 nt
Filed under: Vitis vinifera (wine grape)
Lineage: Eukaryota; Viridiplantae; Streptophyta; Magnoliopsida; Vitales; Vitaceae
Description: long non-coding RNA (VVIN_LNC004710)
Source: RNAcentral